GGAUUGGGAGGGUUCUACGGAACCCGUUUGGUGAAUCUAGUGCCGAGAAAAGCCUUCUAUGUGUUGAAUUUCUAGUACCCGUACCCCAAACCGACACAGGUGGGUGGGUAGAGCAUACCUAGGGGCGCGUGAUAACUCUCUCUAAGGAACUCGGCAAAAUGGCCCUGUAACUUCGGGAUAAGGGGUGCCUGCGUGAGCAGGCCGCAGUGAAAUGGCUCUGGCGACUGUUUACCAAAAACACAGGUCUCUGCUAAGUCGUAAGACGAUGUAUAGGGGCUGACUCCUGCCCAGUGCCGGAAGGUUAAGGAAGUUGGUUAGCGCAAGCGAAGCUGGCGACCGAAGCCCCGGUGAACGGCGGCCGUAACAAUAACGGUCCUAAGGUAGCGAAAUUCCUUGUCGGGUAAGUUCCGACCCGCACGAAAGGAGUAACGAUCAGAGCGCUGUCUCGGAGAGAGACACGGCGAAAUAGGAUUGUCCGUGAAGAUACGGACUACCUGCACCCGGACAGAAAGACCCUAUGAAGCUUUACUGUAACUUGGAAUUGUGUUCGGACUUUGUCUGCGCAGAAUAGGUGGGAGGCUAUGAAACGUUCCUCGCGGGGAACUGGAGCCAUCGUUGAGAUACCACUCUGGCAGAGUCUGGAUUCUAACCUACGGGGACAGUUCCAGGUGGGCAGUUUGACUGGGGCGGUCGCCUCCUAAAAUGUAACGGAGGCGCGCAAAGGUUCCCUCAGGCUGGUUGGAAAUCAGCCAUAGAGUGUAAAAGCAUAAGGGAGCUUGACUGUGAGACCUACAAGUCGAGCAGGGACGAAAGUCGGCUUUAGUGAUCCGACGGCACUGAGUGGAAGGGCCGUCGCUCAACGGAUAAAAGUUACUCUAGGAUAACAGGCUGAUCUCCCCCAAGAGUUCACAUCGACGGGGAGGUUUGGCACCUCGAUGUCGGCUCGUCGCAACCUGGGGCGGUAGUACGUCCCAAGGGUUGGGCUGUUCGCCCAUUAAAGCGGCACGUGAGCUGGGUUCAGAACGUCGUGAGACGGUUCGGUCCAUAUCCGGUGUAGGCGUAGGAGCAUUGAAAGGAUCUCUCCUUAGUACGAGAGGACCGGGAGGGACGUACCUCUGGUGUACCUGUUAUCGUGCCAACGGUAAACGCAGGGUAGCCAUGUACGGAGUGGAUAACCGCUGAAAGCAUCUAAGUGGGAAGCCCACCUUAAGAUGAGUGCUCCCUUGAGGCCACGGGAAGACGACCCGUUUGAUAGGCGCUAGGUGGAAGUGCAGUAAUGCAUGCAGCCGAGGCGUACUAAUAGGCCGAUGGC
Molecule: ribosomal RNA, 1312 nt
Filed under: metagenome
Description: bacterial LSU rRNA
Rfam family: Bacterial large subunit ribosomal RNA
Source: RNAcentral